Molecule: non-coding RNA, 1343 nt
Organism: Nothobranchius furzeri (turquoise killifish)
Lineage: Eukaryota; Metazoa; Chordata; Actinopteri; Cyprinodontiformes; Nothobranchiidae
Source: RefSeq, a predicted model, not a curated record
UGUGUGUGUGUGUGUGUGUGUGUGUGUGUGUGUGUGUGUGUGUGUGUGUGUGUGUGUGUGUGUGUGUGUGUGUGUGUGUGCGCGCGUGGUUCGUUCGUGUCUCCUGGCUAGUAAGUACCGAGGGCUUCAUCUAUCUAAAAGGAGUCAUUUCCAUCUGAAUGUGACAGCACCGGGACACAGCAGCAGAGCGAGUCAACAUCCAGAAGUCUGGAGCCGUGUUUCACUGACAGGCUGUCAGACUAACGCCCUGAUGAGCUCAGCUGGGACAAACUGGUCUGAUGUUUAGGAACACAGAACGCUCAGAUGUUGGAGCUCACGUCACCUACUGAGGAAGGAGACGCACCAGUAAAGAGACGGUCUGGACCAGACCAAAAAUAUGGCGAUGACAUCAUGGAACUGGUCUUUGGAAAAGUUUUCCCUGAACCAACUCCGUUUCUAGAUGAGGUAGAGAAGAUCUGCAUCUCACCAACUCUCUGGUCUCAGUAUUCAGACAACGGAGGUCUCCCACUGUUAUCCAGGACCAGUUUGAAGCCCACAUACUGCCCCUCCCUCAUCAUCAGGAAACAUCAAUCCGUAUCCUGAGGACAACAGAAGACGGCAGGAGGACAGGAACUCUGAGACCUAGAUACCACCAACACCGGGACACAAAGCACCUGUGUGCACAACGCCUGUUUAACUACUAAAGCCUGUUUAUUAUAUUGUUCUACUUAUUGCUGUGAGGUUAAUACUUAGAAAAUUUGUAUUUUAAUGUAAACAAUAAAAAAAUCACUGAUUGUAUGUUUUCUUUUAGAUGUAAUGGUCCAAACUCCGCCUUGUAGACAUUUAUUGCAUCCUGUAGGUAAAUACACAGAACAGGCUCAGAUCCAGGAUGACCCAGCAUGCACUUCUUCCAUUCUGGCUGUUAGGGAUUGUAUCAAUAACUCAAUGCCUACUGAUGUUUCCACCUAACGGUAUUUAUUUAGAAUGCAGGUAAGAUUUAACUAUAUUUGUUAGCAAAGCAGACUGAUCUUGGGAAUUUCACUGCAGCACUGAUGUCCACCUCUCUGUACACAUUAGAGAGAAUUACCACUUUACAGCUAAACACAUUUACUAAAGAUAUAGGCUACGCAUUGCAGACAAUAAAAACAAAGUUCUAAGCAUUAGAAUUAUAAUGAUCACAUUAAAUAACAUUUGGAGGAAUGUUCUUUAUUUUUGACUAGAAUCUCAAAUCUUUAAAUUAAAAUGUAACUGCUUUUUAUCCAUUUUCAGCCAUUAAGACACCCAAUAUUAAAUAAGACUACUUAUAAAAUUAUUUAUAAUUAUAUGUAUGUAUAUAUAUAUAUAGAUAGAGAUCUUAAUAAAAU